This 464-nucleotide ribosomal RNA is filed under the name Vreelandella stevensii. Its description in RNAcentral is "partial 16S ribosomal RNA". It matches the Rfam family "Bacterial small subunit ribosomal RNA", at positions 338 to 795 of the family's 1533-position model. Lineage: Bacteria; Pseudomonadati; Pseudomonadota; Gammaproteobacteria; Oceanospirillales; Halomonadaceae. The record is from RNAcentral.
CCUACGGGGUGCAGCAGUGGGGAAUAUUGGACAAAGGGCGAAAGCCUGAUCCAGCCAUGCCGCGUGUGUGAAGAAGGCCUUCGGGUUGUAAAGCACUUUCAGUGGGAAGAAAGCCUUGGGGCUAAUACCCUCGAGGAAGGACAUCACCCACAGAAGAAGCACCGGCUAACUCCGUGCCAGCAGCCGCGGUAAUACGGAGGGUGCGAGCGUUAAUCGGAAUUACUGGGCGUAAAGCGCGCGUAGGCGGUCUGAUAAGCCGGUUGUGAAAGCCCCGGGCUCAACCUGGGAACGGCAUCCGGAACUGUCAGGCUAGAGUGCAGGAGAGGAAGGUAGAAUUCCCGGUGUAGCGGUGAAAUGCGUAGAGAUCGGGAGGAAUACCAGUGGCGAAGGCGGUCUUCUGGACUGACACUGACGCUGAGGUGCGAAAGCGUGGGUAGCAAACAGGAUUAGAUACCCUAGUAGUC